UGUCCUACGGGUGGCUGCAGUGGGGAAUCUUCCGCAAUGGACGAAAGUCUGACGGAGCAACGCCGCGUGUAUGAAGAAGGCCUUCGGGUUGUAAAAUACUGUUGUCAGGGAAGAACCGUAUAAGUGUAAAUAAUGCUUAUACCUGACGGUACCUGACGAGGAAGCCCCGGCUAACUACGUGCCAGCAGCCGCGGUAAUACGUAGGGGGCAAGCGUUGUCCGGAAUUAUUGGGCGUAAAGGGCGCGUAGGCGGCUGUAUAAGUCUGAUGUGAAAGUGCGGAGCUUAACUCCGUAAAGCAUUGGAAACUGUACGGCUUGAGGACAGGAGAGGAAAGUGGAAUUCCACGUGUAGCGGUGAAAUGCGUAGAUAUGUGGAGGAACACCAGUGGCGAAGGCGACUUUCUGGACUGUAACUGACGCUGAGGCGCGAAAGCGUGGGGAGCGAACAGGAUUAGAUACCCCUGUAGUC
Molecule: ribosomal RNA, 468 nt
Filed under: uncultured Dehalobacter sp.
Lineage: Bacteria; Bacillati; Bacillota; Clostridia; Eubacteriales; Desulfitobacteriaceae
Description: bacterial SSU rRNA
Rfam family: Bacterial small subunit ribosomal RNA
Source: RNAcentral